RNAcentral lists this ribosomal RNA (254 nucleotides) under uncultured bacterium. RNAcentral's name for it is "partial 16S ribosomal RNA". It matches the Rfam family "Bacterial small subunit ribosomal RNA", at positions 524 to 776 of the family's 1533-position model. The record is from RNAcentral.
UACGUAGGGGGCAAGCGUUGUCCGGAUUUAUUGGGCGUAAAGAGCGUGUAGGCGGCCAUGCAGGUCCGUUGUGAAAACUCGAGGCUCAACCUCGAGACGUCGAUGGAAACCGCAUGGCUAGAGUCCGGAAGAGGAGAGUGGAAUUCCGUGGUGUAGCGGUGAAAUGCGCAGAUAUCAGGAAGAACACCCGUGGCGAAGGCGGCUCUCUGGGACGGUACUGACGCUGAGACGCGAAAGCGUGGGGAGCGAACAGG